GACGAACGCUGGCGGCGUGCUUAACACAUGCAAGUCGAACGGAAAGGCUCCAGCUUGCUGGAGUACUCGAGUGGCGAACGGGUGAGUAACACGUGGGUAAUCUGCCCUGCACUCUGGGAUAAGCCUGGGAAACUGGGUCUAAUACUGGAUAUGACCUUUCUCCUUAUGGGGUUUGGUGGAAAGUUUUUCGGUGUAGGAUGAGCCCGCGGCCUAUCAGCUUGUUGGUGGGGUGAUGGCCUACCAAGGCGACGACGGGUAGCCGGCCUGAGAGGGUGAUCGGCCACAUUGGGACUGAGAUACGGCCCAGACUCCUACGGGAGGCAGCAGUGGGGAAUAUUGCACAAUGGGCGGAAGCCUGAUGCAGCGACGCCGCGCGAGGGAUGACGGCCUUCGGGUUGUAAACCUCUUUCAGCAGGGACGAAGCGUAAGUGACGGUACCUGCAGAAGAAGCACCGGCUAACUAGGUG
RNAcentral lists this ribosomal RNA (467 nucleotides) under uncultured bacterium. RNAcentral describes it as "partial 16S ribosomal RNA". It matches the Rfam family "Bacterial small subunit ribosomal RNA", at positions 28 to 507 of the family's 1533-position model. The record is from RNAcentral.